UCUGGUUGAUCCUGCCAGUAGCAUAUGCUUGUCUCAAAGAUUAAGCCAUGCAUGUCUAAGUAUAAAUAGCAUACAGUGAAACUGCGAAUGGCUCAUAAAAACAGUUAUAGUUUAUUUGAUAAUGGAAGCCUACAUGGAUAACCGUAGUAAUUCUAGAGCUAAUACAUGCGUCAAGACCUGACUGAAUUGAAAGGUUGUAUUUAUUAGAUACGAAGCCAAUAUUCCUUCGGGAUUAUUGUGGUGAGUCAUAGUAACUGAUCGAAUCUCCCAAUAUGGAGAUAAAUCAUUCAAGUUUCUGCUCUAUCAGCUUUUGAUGGUAGUGUAUUGGACUACCAUGGCAGUCACGGGUAAUGGAGAAUUAGGGUUCGAUUCCGGAGAGGGAGCCUGAGAAACGGCUACCACAUCUAAGGAAGGCAGCAGGCGCGUAAAUUACCCAAUCCUGAUUCAGGGAGGUAGUGACAAGAAAUAACAACCCGGGGGAUUCACGUCCUUACGGGAUUGCAAUGAGAACAAUUUAAAUCACUUAACGAGGAUCAAUUGGAGGGCAAGUCUGGUGCCAGCAGCCGCGGUAAUUCCAGCUCCAAUAGUGUUUAUUAAAGUUGUUGCAGUUAAAAAGCUCGUAGUUGAACUUCUGGCAGUGUGCAGUUAUGGUUCUUAUCAGGCUGCAUUGCUGCCAUCCGUCUGCAAACCCUAUGCAACCUUUAGUGGCUUGGUGGGGGGAGUAGACAUUUUACUUUGAAAAAAUUAGAGUGUUUCAAGCAGGUUAUCGCCAGAAUACUUUAGCAUGGAAUAAUGGAACAGGACUCUUGUCCAUUUGGUUGGUUAUUGGACCAGAGUAAUGAUUAACAGGGACAGUUGGGGGCAUUAGUAUUUAAUUGUCAGAGGUGAAAUUCAUGGAUUUAUUAAAGACUAACUUAUGCGAAAGCAUUUGCCAAGGAUGUUUUCAUUAAUCAAGAACGAAAGUUAGGGGAUCAAAGACGAUCAGAUACCGUCCUAGUCUUAACUAUAAACGAUGUCGACUCGGGAUUGGAAAGGUAUUUUUAUCCUUUCCAGCACCGUAUGAGAAAUCAUUAAGUUUUUGGAUUCUGGGGGGAGUAUGGUCGCAAGGCUGAAACUUAAAGGAAUUGACGGAAGAGCACCACCAGGCGUGGGACCUGCGGCUUAAUUUGACCCAACACGGGAAAACUUAUUUCAGUAAAACAUGAGUGGGAUUGACAGAUUGAGAGCUCUUUCUUGAUUUUAUGGGGUGUGGUGCAUGGCCGUUCUUAGUUGGUGGAGUGAUUUGUCUGGUUAAUUCCGUUAACGAACGAGACCUUAACCUGCUAACUAGUCAGGGUGUUAAAUUACGCUACUGUACUUCUUAGAGGGACUAUGGGUAACAAGCCCAUGGAAGUUUGAGGCAAUAACAGGUCUGUG
Molecule: ribosomal RNA, 1416 nt
Filed under: metagenome
Description: SSU rRNA
Rfam family: Eukaryotic small subunit ribosomal RNA
Source: RNAcentral